Molecule: long non-coding RNA, 207 nt
Filed under: Elaeis guineensis (African oil palm)
Lineage: Eukaryota; Viridiplantae; Streptophyta; Magnoliopsida; Arecales; Arecaceae
Description: long non-coding RNA (EGUI_LNC042348)
Source: RNAcentral
ACUCCUUAAGUGUGUGACCCCAUGGGUUCUAUUUUAUCUGAUAGUGAGUCAUGUUAUGAUCUCCAUCACAAUAUUAUCAAAACUUCUUUCAAUGGAUUAGAAUACUUUCAAUUCUUUCCAACAAAGAAUCAUUCAAUUAUCUAUCUGAUUUUCUUUGAGCCCCACAAUCUAUCAGUGACACCUAACAGUAUAUAGUGAUAGACCAGC